This 481-nucleotide unclassified non-coding RNA is filed under the name Hevea brasiliensis (rubber tree). The record is from RNAcentral. Lineage: Eukaryota; Viridiplantae; Streptophyta; Magnoliopsida; Malpighiales; Euphorbiaceae.
UAAGCAGCUAAGCCAUCCUUCAAUUCUCUCUUCUAGCUCCCCAACAGAACCAGCCUGCAUAUCUAUAGGAUUUAAUCUCUCCUAUUCCUUGGUGUGCAUAAGUGGGAGAUCUGAAACAUUAAUGGACACAAUCUCAAAUCCUGUUUCCAACCAAAACCAACAGAAUCCAGAGUCCCUCAACAUGUUGUCAUCUUCCCAGAGGCUGAACAACAAGAUUGGUUAAAAACAUCAAGACAACAUAUCAAGGUAGUCCCUAGAUUGCUGAACAACAUUUCUGGUAAGAGGACCUGUUCCAUUUUUCAAGCUCCUCAAACAGUUAAGAUAGGCAAAGAAAGAAAUCACUCCAGAUGAUCGAAGAAGAAAAAUGGCGAUUGCUUGGUGUAGUUAUCUUAUCACUUGUAUAUCAAUGAAAACAACCAGCUAUCCUUCACCUAAACCCAGUUUUGACACUAAUGUUUUAUAUGCAUAAAGCAACCAGCUG